RNAcentral lists this ribosomal RNA (460 nucleotides) under uncultured bacterium. Its description in RNAcentral is "partial 16S ribosomal RNA". It matches the Rfam family "Bacterial small subunit ribosomal RNA", at positions 338 to 795 of the family's 1533-position model. The record is from RNAcentral.
CCUACGGGUGGCAGCAGUGAGGAAUAUUGGUCAAUGGACGAGAGUCUGAACCAGCCAAGUAGCGUGAAGGAUGACUGCCCUAUGGGUUGUAAACUUCUUUUAUAUGGGAAUAAAACGUUCCACGUGUGGGAUUUUGUAUGUACCAUAUGAAUAAGGAUCGGCUAACUCCGUGCCAGCAGCCGCGGUAAUACGGAGGAUCCGAGCGUUAUCCGUAUUUAUUGGGUUUAAAGGGAGCGUAGGUGGAUUGUUAAGUCAGUUGUGAAAGUUUGCGGCUCAACCGUAAAAUUGCAGUUGAAACUGGCAGUCUUGAGUACAGUGGAGGUGGGCGGAAUUCGUGGUGUAGCGGUGAAAUGCUUAGAUAUCACGAAGAACUCCGAUUGCGAAGGCAGUUCACUGGACUGCAACUGACACUGAGGCUCGAAAGUGUGGGUAUCAAACAGGAUUAGAUACCCCUGUAGUC